RNAcentral lists this ribosomal RNA (433 nucleotides) under uncultured bacterium. Its description in RNAcentral is "partial 16S ribosomal RNA". It matches the Rfam family "Bacterial small subunit ribosomal RNA", at positions 29 to 507 of the family's 1533-position model. The record is from RNAcentral.
AACGAACGCUGGCGGCAGGCCUAACACAUGCAAGUCGAGCGAGGACUUCGGUCCUAGCGGCGGACGGGUGAGUAACGCGUGGGAACGUGCCCUUUGCUUCGGAAUAGCCCUGGGAAACUGGGAGUAAAACCGGAUGAGCCCUUUGGGGGAAAGAUUUAUCGGCGAAGGAUCGGCCCGCGUUGGAUUAGGUAGUUGGUGGGGUAAUGGCCUACCAAGCCGACGAUCCAUAGCUGGUUUGAGAGGAUGAUCAGCCACACUGGGACUGAGACACGGCCCAGACUCCUACGGGAGGCAGCAGUGGGGAAUCUUAGACAAUGGGGGAAACCCUGAUCUAGCCAUGCCGCGUGAGCGAUGAAGGCCUUAGGGUUGUAAAGCUCUUUCAGCUGGGAAGAUAAUGACGGUACCAGCAGAAGAAGCCCCGGCUAACUCCGUG